AGCGGCGGACGGGUGAGUAAUGCUUAGGAAUCUGCCUAUUAGUGGGGGACAACAUUCCGAAAGGGAUGCUAAUACCGCAUACGUCCUACGGGAGAAAGCAGGGGAUCUUCGGACCUUGCGCUAAUAGAUGAGCCUAAGUCGGAUUAGCUAGUUGGUGGGGUAAAGGCCUACCAAGGCGACGAUCUGUAGCGGGUCUGAGAGGAUGAUCCGCCACACUGGGACUGAGACACGGCCCAGACUCCUACGGGAGGCAGCAGUGGGGAAUAUUGGACAAUGGGGGGAACCCUGAUCCAGCCAUGCCGCGUGUGUGAAGAAGGCCUUAUGGUUGUAAAGCACUUUAAGCGAGGAGGAGGCUACUGAGACUAAUACUCUUGGAUAGUGGACGUUACUCGCAGAAUAAGCACCGGCUAACUCUGUGCCAGCAGCCGCGGUAAUACAGAGGGUGCGAGCGUUAAUCGGAUUUACUGGGCGUAAAGCGUGCGUAGGCGGCUUUUUAAGUCGGAUGUGAAAUCCCCGAGCUUAACUUGGGAAUUGCAUUCGAUACUGGGAAGCUAGAGUAUGGGAGAGGAUGGUAGAAUUCCAGGUGUAGCGGUGAGAUGCGUAGAGAUCUGGAGGAAUACCGAUGGCGAAGGCAGCCAUCUGGCCUAAUACUGACGCUGAGGUACGAAAGCAUGGGGAGCAAACAGGAUUAGAUACCCUGGUAGUCCAUGCCGUAAACGAUGUCUACUAGC
This 731-nucleotide ribosomal RNA is filed under the name uncultured bacterium. RNAcentral describes it as "bacterial SSU rRNA". It matches the Rfam family "Bacterial small subunit ribosomal RNA", at positions 94 to 820 of the family's 1533-position model. The record is from RNAcentral.